This 496-nucleotide ribosomal RNA is filed under the name Leuconostoc mesenteroides. RNAcentral describes it as "bacterial SSU rRNA". It matches the Rfam family "Bacterial small subunit ribosomal RNA", at positions 38 to 519 of the family's 1533-position model. Lineage: Bacteria; Bacillati; Bacillota; Bacilli; Lactobacillales; Lactobacillaceae. The record is from RNAcentral.
GGGCGGCGUGCUAUACAUGCAGUCGAACGCACAGCGAAAGGUGCUUGCACCUUUCAAGUGAGUGGCGAACGGGUGAGUAACACGUGGACAACCUGCCUCAAGGCUGGGGAUAACAUUUGGAAACAGAUGCUAAUACCGAAUAAAACUUAGUGUCGCAUGACACAAAGUUAAAAGGCGCUUCGGCGUCACCUAGAGAUGGAUCCGCGGUGCAUUAGUUAGUUGGUGGGGUAAAGGCCUACCAAGCAAUGAUGCAUAGCCGAGUUGAGAGACUGAUCGGCCACAUUGGGACUGAGACACGGCCCAAACUCCUACGGGAGGCUGCAGUAGGGAAUCUUCCACAAUGGGCGAAAGCCUGAUGGAGCAACGCCGCGUGUGUGAUGAAGGCUUUCGGGUCGUAAAGCACUGUUGUAUGGGAAGAACAGCUAGAAUAGGAAAUGAUUUUAGUUUGACGGUACCAUACCAGAAAGGGACGGCUAAAUACGUGCCAGCAGCCGCG